UCAACACCGAGUACUAACUAAGUGUUGACCGACAGCGCAUAUGAGCGAACGAAGAGAGCUCAUUACGCAAAUAAAAGUGCCAACACCAAUUAAGUAGAACUGGGUGUUGAACAUUACUUAGUGGCGAACGGGUGAGUAACGCGUAGACAACCUGCCUUCUAGAUGGGGACAACACUGCGAAAGUGGUGCUAAUACCGAAUGUUGUAAUGAGCCUGCAUGGGCUUGAUACUAAAGGUGGCCUCUAUAUAUAAGCUAUCACUAGAAGAUGGGUCUGCGUCUGAUUAGCUAGUUGGUGAGGUAAUGGCUCACCAAGGCGAUGAUCAGUAGCCGGUCUGAGAGGAUGAACGGCCACACUGGGACUGAGACACGGCCCAGACUCCUACGGGAGGCAGCAGUGGGGAAUCUUCCGCAAUGGACGAAAGUCUGACGGAGCAACGCCGCGUGAGUGAAGAAGGUUUUCGGAUCGUAAAGCUCUGUCUUUGAGGACGAAUGUGUCUAAUGUAAAUAAUGUUAGAUAAUGACGGUACUCGAGGAGGAAGCCACGGCUAACUACGUGCCAGCAGCCGCGGUAAUACGUAGGUGGCAAGCGUUGUCCGGAAUUAUUGGGCGUAAAGCGCGCGCAGGCGGGAUAUUAAGUCUGUUUUAAAAGUUCGGGGCUCAACCCCGUGAUGGAAUGGAAACUAAUAUUCUUGAGUGCAGGAGAGGAAAGUGGAAUUCCCAGUGUAGCGGUGAAAUGCGUAGAUAUUGGGAGGAACACCAGUGGCGAAGGCGACUUUCUGGACUGUGUCUGACGCUGAGGCGCGAAAGCCAGGGGAGUGAACGGGAUUAGAUACCCCGGUAAUCCUGGCCGUAAACGAUGGGUACUAGGUGUAGGAGGUAUCGACCCCUUCUGUGCCGGAGUUAACGCAAUAAGUACCCCGCCUGGGGAGUACGG
This 934-nucleotide ribosomal RNA is filed under the name uncultured Pelosinus sp. Its description in RNAcentral is "bacterial SSU rRNA". It matches the Rfam family "Bacterial small subunit ribosomal RNA", at positions 71 to 885 of the family's 1533-position model. Lineage: Bacteria; Bacillati; Bacillota; Negativicutes; Selenomonadales; Sporomusaceae. The record is from RNAcentral.